RNAcentral lists this long non-coding RNA (533 nucleotides) under Equus caballus (horse). RNAcentral's name for it is "lncRNA (ENSECAG00000054672.1)". Lineage: Eukaryota; Metazoa; Chordata; Mammalia; Perissodactyla; Equidae. The record is from RNAcentral.
CAGAUUUCCCUGGAGCAGGUCACCCUCUGACCUUUCAAGGUUGAGAACACAGGCCUCAGUGCACACUGGGCUGAGCACCCACUGGUGGAAAUCCGGAGGGAGCUCUCCUGUGCUUGAUGGAUGAGGUCAGAGGCCUGGAAGGAGAAAGGCAAGGACCAUGAGAACGAAAUCGCCUGCAGCUGGCAUCUGCUGACAGCUUCCUCUCAUCAAGCUCUAGAUGACCGUACACUUUUUUAAAAUGCAAGUGGAAGAGGAGACUGGGAGGGUUGUUUUGGUUUUACAGGCUCGUCUCUCUUCUCACUGACAGGAGAACUGAGAGAAUCUGAUUAUCAGCCAACCAAACUCUUAGUUAUCUGAGCCUCCCUCCUAGAGAAGGAAGUGUGUGUGUGUGUGUGUGUGUGUUGUCCUGGGGGAAGGCCUGGGUCAGCCAUUGUGACAGGGGGGAUUCUGGGGGCUUAGGGUAGCAGCUCUAUGUUAUCGCAUUCAGUAGAAUUAUGUUUAUGUAUUUUCACAAUAGGUACAGGCAAGUGGAC